UGUUUUCAUCUGAUCACCAAAGUUAAGCAACAUUGAGCCUGGUUAGUACCUAGAUAGGUUACCACUUGGUAAUACCAGGUGCUGUAA
Non-coding RNA from Acanthosepion pharaonis, 87 nucleotides. The record is from the annotation of a GenBank genome assembly. Lineage: Eukaryota; Metazoa; Mollusca; Cephalopoda; Sepiida; Sepiidae.